RNAcentral lists this ribosomal RNA (254 nucleotides) under uncultured bacterium. RNAcentral's name for it is "partial 16S ribosomal RNA". It matches the Rfam family "Bacterial small subunit ribosomal RNA", at positions 524 to 776 of the family's 1533-position model. The record is from RNAcentral.
UACGGGGGGAGCAAGCGUUGUUCGGAUUUACUGGGCGUAAAGGGCGCGUAGGCGGUCACUACAAGUCAGUUGUGAAAUCUCUGGGCUUAACUCAGAACGGUCAACUGAUACUGUCGGACUAGAGUGCAGAAGGGGCAACUGGAAUUCCCGGUGUAGUGGUGAAAUGCGUAGAUAUCGGGAGGAACACCAGUGGCGAAGGCGGCUUCCUGGCCUGUUCUUGACGCUGAGGCGCGAAAGCUAGGGUAGCAAACGGG